AUUGAACGCUGGCGGCAUGCUUUACACAUGCAAGUCGAACGGUAACAGGCCUUCGGGUGCUGACGAGUGGCGCACGGGUGAGUAAUGCAUCGGAACGUACCCAGAGGUGGGGGAUAACGCAGCGAAAGCUGUGCUAAUACCGCAUGUGAUCUGAGGAUGAAAGCGGGGGACCGCGCAGCAAUGUUUGGCCUCGCGCCUUUGGAGCGGCCGAUGUCGGAUUAGCUAGUUGGUGGGGUAAAGGCCUACCAAGGCGACGAUCCGUAGCUGGUCUGAGAGGACGACCAGCCACACUGGGACUGAGACACGGCCCAGACUCCUACGGGAGGCAGCAGUGGGGAAUUUUGGACAAUGGGCGCAAGCCUGAUCCAGCAAUGCCGCGUGCGGGAAGAAGGCCUUCGGGUUGUAAAGCGCUUUUGGCAGGAACGAAACGGUGUCCGCUAAUACCGGGCGCUAAUGACGGUACCUGCAGAAUAAGCACCGGCUAACUACGUG
This 492-nucleotide ribosomal RNA is filed under the name uncultured bacterium. RNAcentral describes it as "partial 16S ribosomal RNA". It matches the Rfam family "Bacterial small subunit ribosomal RNA", at positions 29 to 507 of the family's 1533-position model. The record is from RNAcentral.